UCGAGCGAGAAGUGGAGCAAUCCAUGAGUAAAGCGGCGUACGGGUGAGUAACACGUGGAUGAUCUACCCUCUAGUGGGGAAUAACCCUGGGAAACCGGGGCUAAUACCGCAUAAGCACGAGAGUGGAAAGCAGCAAUGCGCUGGAGGAGGAGUCCGCGGCCGAUUAGCUAGUUGGCAGGGUAAAAGCCUACCUAGGCAAAGAUCGGUAGCCGGCCUGAGAGGGCACACGGCCACACUGGCACUGAAACACGGGCCAGACUCCUACGGGAGGCAGCAGUGGGGAAUCUUGCACAAUGGGGGAAACCCUGAUGCAGCGACGCCGCGUGAGCGAUGAAGCCCUUCGGGGUGUAAAGCUCUUUCGGCAGGGAAGAUGAUGACGGUACCUGCAGAAGCAGCUGCGGCUAACUACGUGCCAGCAGCCGCGGUAAUACGUAGGCAGCAAGCGUUG
Molecule: ribosomal RNA, 448 nt
Filed under: uncultured bacterium
Lineage: Bacteria
Description: bacterial SSU rRNA
Rfam family: Bacterial small subunit ribosomal RNA
Source: RNAcentral